GGAGCUGUGGCAUAGUGGGUAAUGCCACAGCCUGUAGUGUCAGUACCCCAGAUGGGUGCUGGUUCGAGUCCUGGCUGCUCCA
Molecule: transfer RNA, 82 nt
Filed under: Oryctolagus cuniculus (rabbit)
Lineage: Eukaryota; Metazoa; Chordata; Mammalia; Lagomorpha; Leporidae
Rfam family: tRNA
About the family: Transfer RNA (tRNA) molecules are approximately 80 nucleotides in length. Their secondary structure includes four short double-helical elements and three loops (D, anti-codon, and T loops).
Source: Rfam by way of RNAcentral